GCCUAACACAUGCAAGUCGAACGGCAGCACAGGGGAGCUUGCUCCCUGGGUGGCGAGUGGCGGACGGGUGAGUAAUACAUCGGGACCUACCCAUGACGUGGGGGAUAACCUCGGGAAACCGGGACUAAUACCGCAUACGUCCUACGGGAGAAAGCGGGGGACCUUCGGGCCUCGCGCGUCUGGACGGACCGAUGUUCGAUUAGCUAGUUGGUGGGGUAAAGGCCUACCAAGGCUGCGAUCGAUAGCUGGUCUGAGAGGAUGAUCAGCCACAUUGGGACUGAGACACGGCCCAAACUCCUACGGGAGGCAGCAGUGGGGAAUAUUGGACAAUGGGCGCAAGCCUGAUCCAGCAAUGCCGCGUGUGUGAAGAAGGCCUUCGGGUUGUAAAGCACUUUUAUCAGGAGCGAAAUCGGCAUGGUUAAUAACCGUGUCGUCUGACGGUACCUGAGGAAUAAGCACCGGCUAACUUCGUGCCAGCAGCCGCGGUAAUACGAAGGGUGCAAGCGUUAAUCGGAAUUACUGGGCGUAAAGGGUGCGUAGGCGGUUAGUUAAGUCUGUUGUGAAAUCCCCGGGCUCAACCUGGGAAUGGCAAUGGAUACUGGCUGGCUAGAGUGUGUCAGAGGAUGGUGGAACUCCCGGUGUAGCGUGAAAUGCGUAGAGAUCGGGAGGAACAUCAGUGGCGAAGGGGCCAUCUGGGACACACUGACGCUGAAGCACGAAAGCGUGGGGAGCAAACAGGAUAGAUACCCUGGUAGUCCACGCCUAAACGAUGCGAACUGGACGUUGGUNUCAACUCGGAGAUCAGUGUCGAAGCUAACGCGUUAAGUUCGCCGCCUGGGGAGUACGGUCGCAAGACUGAAACUCAAAGGAAUUGACGGGGGCCCGCACAAGCGGUGGAGUAUGUGGUUUAAUUCGAUGCAACGCGAAGAACCUUACCUGGCCUUGACAUGUCGCGAAUCCUGCAGAGAUGCGGAAGUGCCUUCGGGAAUGCGAACACAGGUGCUGCAUGGCUGUCGUCAGCUCGUGUCGUGAGAUGUUGGGUUAAG
This 1046-nucleotide ribosomal RNA is filed under the name uncultured Rhodanobacter sp. Its description in RNAcentral is "bacterial SSU rRNA". It matches the Rfam family "Bacterial small subunit ribosomal RNA", at positions 46 to 1084 of the family's 1533-position model. The record is from RNAcentral. Lineage: Bacteria; Pseudomonadati; Pseudomonadota; Gammaproteobacteria; Lysobacterales; Rhodanobacteraceae.